AGGUGCGAUCAUAUCAGCACUAAUGCAUCGGAUUCCAUCGGAACUCCGAAGUUAAGCGCUUGGGCAAGAAUAGUACUAAGAUAGUCUUGUCACUUGACUUU
RNAcentral lists this ribosomal RNA (101 nucleotides) under Cephalotus follicularis. Lineage: Eukaryota; Viridiplantae; Streptophyta; Magnoliopsida; Oxalidales; Cephalotaceae. The record is from RNAcentral.